AUUUCUACUUAGAGAUUGCCUCCUGUGGGAGUUUUCAGCAAGAUCUUAUCUUUGGAAAGGGACUUUCUCUUUGCUUGGACAAGUGCUUGAUUUUUGCACUAAGUAGGGAACUGUCUUAUGAAAACAGAGUAGCAAAGGACGUCCAGUACUUCACUGAAAAACGAUGGGACAGCAGUUCUGUCACGUUCUAAAGCAGCUGAGAAUUGCAUCCUUUUGCAAGAAGUGACUUACAGGUAGAGCGUUGUGCUGAUUUCCUGGUCCCUGUUCUCUUAGGACUCUCCAUACAUCUGCUCAGAAAAUGUGUGGAUGUGGCACAGAGGGACAUGGAUUUGUUGCAGACUGGGAGACAUGCAUUCUGUUUGCAAGCUGACAAAGUCUGUUCUACAUUCUGCUCCCAGCUACGUGACCAGGUUGUCUCUGUGCUAGGAAAAGAAAGCCACAAAAAUCCGACUCAAGAGCAGCAUGUAGGCUCCGUGCUCAAAGAGUUGAUAAAAACUUUUGGAUGUUAGGCUUAACACCUUCUUCACCCCAGCGGUUUCAUGCCAGCGAUAUUUCAAAGUGAUUCAAGGGCUCUUUUUUCCAGUGAACAGUGCUUAAAAGAUAGCAGGCUGCAAUGAGGAUUGUAACAGUGCUGUAACUAUUCUCAGGAAACUAUCAUUUGGGAAAGUCCUGGGAGAUAUCUUGGAGCUGUUUUGUGUUGUUCCCCAGUAAGGAGCAGAAGACACCUGCCAUUUAGUUAAAUGCCUUAUCUUGGCCUAUUUGGGAACCUCGUUUCAGAUGAAAGUGUCUAUGCUAAUCAAACAAAAUACUAUCAAAAGUGGUCCAGAUGAGAGUGAUAGCUUUAAAAAAAGCACUUUAAAAUGCUUGCGAUUUAUAGUUUUGUGUUAAAUCAGCUUAGCAUUCAUGAAAUAAAAGUGUUGACUACUUGC
This 929-nucleotide long non-coding RNA is filed under the name Gallus gallus (chicken). RNAcentral describes it as "lncRNA (ENSGALG00010016367.1)". The record is from RNAcentral. Lineage: Eukaryota; Metazoa; Chordata; Aves; Galliformes; Phasianidae.